GACAUAAACUGGCAUGUUCUGAAAGAAUCACUCUGGAUGCUGUGUGGAGAAAACACUGAAAAGAGUGAGGAGACAUUUGGAAUAAAUAUGGCUUCUGGGGGCCCAUUCCUAUGGAUCAGCAGCUGGCUUCUGGAGGCCCAUUCCUGUGAAUCGUCGAUCUCAUAGAAGAUAAUAUUGUUAGAAGGCUUACCUCAUUGAUGCUGAACAUCCUAAAAAGCUUCUGCUGCUUUGAGUCACUGAAAAAGACCAAGAAACAUGAAUUUAAAAAAAAAUUUCAAAUGUUAUAAAAUAAAUAAUAUGAACUCAUUAUACCUACAAUGAAUAA
This 325-nucleotide long non-coding RNA is filed under the name Homo sapiens (human). RNAcentral's name for it is "HSALNT0342798". The record is from RNAcentral. Lineage: Eukaryota; Metazoa; Chordata; Mammalia; Primates; Hominidae.